CCUACGGGUGGCAGCAGUGGGGAAUAUUGCCCCAUGGAGGAAACCCUGAUGCAGCGAUGCCGCGUGCGUGAAGAAGUAUUUCUGUAUGUAAAACUGUAUCAGCAUGGAAGUUAACGACCGUACCUGACUAAGAAGCCCCGGCUAACUACGUUCCAGCAGCCCCGGUAAGACGGAGGGGGCAAGCGUUAUCCGGAUUUAUUGGGUGUAAAGGGGGCGUAGGUGGUAGGGCAAGUCAGAUGUGAAAACCCGGGGCUCAACACCGGGAGUGCAUUUGAAACUGUCGAGCUGGAGUGCAGGAGCGGUAGGCGGAAUGCAUGGUGUAGCGGUGAAAUGCAUAGAUAUUAGGAGGAACACCAGUGGCGAAGGCAGCUUACUGGACUGUAACUGACACUGAGGCUCGAAAGCGUGGGGAGCAAACAGGAUUAGAUACCCGAGUAGUC
RNAcentral lists this ribosomal RNA (440 nucleotides) under uncultured bacterium. Its description in RNAcentral is "partial 16S ribosomal RNA". It matches the Rfam family "Bacterial small subunit ribosomal RNA", at positions 338 to 795 of the family's 1533-position model. The record is from RNAcentral.